CCUACGGGAGGCAGCAGUGAGGAAUAUUGGUCAAUGGACGAGAGUCUGAACCAGCCAAGUAGCGUGAAGGAUGACUGCCCUAUGGGUUGUAAACUUCUUUUAUAUGGGAAUAAAACGUUCCACGUGUGGGAUUUUGUAUGUACCAUAUGAAUAAGGAUCGGCUAACUCCGUGCCAGCAGCCGCGGUAAUACGGAGGAUCCGAGCGUUAUCCGGAUUUAUUGGGUUUAAAGGGAGCGUAGGUGGCUUGUUAAGUCAGUUGUGAAAGUUGGCGGCUCAACCGUAAAAUUGCAGUUGAAACUGGCAGUCUUGAGUACAGUAGAGGUAGGCGGAAUUCGUGGUGUAGCGGUGAAAUGCUUAGAUAGCACGAAGAACUCCGAUUGCGAAGGCAGUUCACUGGACUGCAACUGACACUGAGGCUCGAAAGUGUGGGUAUCAAACAGGAUUAGAUACCCUAGUAGUC
This 460-nucleotide ribosomal RNA is filed under the name uncultured bacterium. RNAcentral's name for it is "partial 16S ribosomal RNA". It matches the Rfam family "Bacterial small subunit ribosomal RNA", at positions 338 to 795 of the family's 1533-position model. The record is from RNAcentral.